RNAcentral lists this ribosomal RNA (463 nucleotides) under uncultured bacterium. Its description in RNAcentral is "partial 16S ribosomal RNA". It matches the Rfam family "Bacterial small subunit ribosomal RNA", at positions 28 to 507 of the family's 1533-position model. The record is from RNAcentral.
GACGAACGCUGGCGGCGUGCUUAACACAUGCAAGUCGAACGGUAAGGCCCUUCGGGGUCCACGAGUGGCGAACGGGUGAGUAACGCGUGAGUAACCUGCCCUUCACUCUGGGAUAACAGUUGGAAACGGCUGCUAAUACCGGAUAUUCAGCUCCUGUCGCAUGGUGGGGGUUGGAAAGUUUUGGUGGUGGAGGAUGGGCUCGCGUCCUAUCAGCUUGUUGGUGGGGUGAUGGCCUACCAAGGCGUCGACGGGUAGCCGGCCUGAGAGGGCGACCGGCCACAUUGGGACUGAGAUACAGCCCAAACUCCUACGGGAGGCAGCAGUGGGGAAUAUUGCACAAUGGGCGGAAGCCUGAUGCAGCAACGCCGCGUGCGGGAUGACGGCCUUCGGGUUGUAAACCGCUUUCAGCAGGGACGAAGCGCAAGUGACGGUACCUGCAGAAGAAGCACCGGCUAACUACGUG